Molecule: transfer RNA, 63 nt
Filed under: Rattus norvegicus (Norway rat)
Lineage: Eukaryota; Metazoa; Chordata; Mammalia; Rodentia; Muridae
Rfam family: tRNA
About the family: Transfer RNA (tRNA) molecules are approximately 80 nucleotides in length. Their secondary structure includes four short double-helical elements and three loops (D, anti-codon, and T loops).
Source: Rfam by way of RNAcentral
GGGGAUUUAGCUCAGUGGUAGAGCACUUGCCUAGCAAGUGCAAGGCCCAGGGUUCAGUCCUCA